RNAcentral lists this ribosomal RNA (802 nucleotides) under Klebsiella pneumoniae. RNAcentral describes it as "bacterial SSU rRNA". It matches the Rfam family "Bacterial small subunit ribosomal RNA", at positions 32 to 824 of the family's 1533-position model. The record is from RNAcentral. Lineage: Bacteria; Pseudomonadati; Pseudomonadota; Gammaproteobacteria; Enterobacterales; Enterobacteriaceae.
AACUUUGCCGGGAGGCUUACACAUGCAAGUCGAGCGGUAGCACAGAGAGCUUGCUCUCGGGUGACGAGCGGCGGACGGGUGAGUAAUGUCUGGGAAACUGCCUGAUGGAGGGGGAUAACUACUGGAAACGGUAGCUAAUACCGCAUAACGUCGCAAGACCAAAGUGGGGGACCUUCGGGCCUCAUGCCAUCAGAUGUGCCCAGAUGGGAUUAGCUAGUAGGUGGGGUAACGGCUCACCUAGGCGACGAUCCCUAGCUGGUCUGAGAGGAUGACCAGCCACACUGGAACUGAGACACGGUCCAGACUCCUACGGGAGGCAGCAGUGGGGAAUAUUGCACAAUGGGCGCAAGCCUGAUGCAGCCAUGCCGCGUGUGUGAAGAAGGCCUUCGGGUUGUAAAGUACUUUCAGCGGGGAGGAAGGCGAUAAGGUUAAUAACCUUGUCGAUUGACGUUACCCGCAGAAGAAGCACCGGCUAACUCCGUGCCAGCAGCCGCGGUAAUACGGAGGGUGCAAGCGUUAAUCGGAAUUACUGGGCGUAAAGCGCACGCAGGCGGUCUGUCAAGUCGGAUGUGAAAUCCCCGGGCUCAACCUGGGAACUGCAUUCGAAACUGGCAGGCUAGAGUCUUGUAGAGGGGGGUAGAAUUCCAGGUGUAGCGGUGAAAUGCGUAGAGAUCUGGAGGAAUACCGGUGGCGAAGGCGGCCCCCUGGACAAAGACUGACGCUCAGGUGCGAAAGCGUGGGGGAGCAAACAGGGAUUAGAUACCCUGGUAGUCCACGCCGUAAACGAUGUCCAUUUUGGAGG